CAGUCGAGCGAGCUGAACCAACAGAUUCACUUCGGUGAUGACGUUGGGAACGCGAGCGGCGGAUGGGUGAGUAACACGUGGGGAACCUGCCCCAUAGUCUGGGAUACCACUUGGAAACAGGUGCUAAUACCGGAUAAGAAAGCAGAUCGCAUGAUCAGCUUAUAAAAGGCGGCGUAAGCUGUCGCUAUGGGAUGGCCCCGCGGUGCAUUAGCUAGUUGGUAGGGUAACGGCCUACCAAGGCAAUGAUGCAUAGCCGAGUUGAGAGACUGAUCGGCCACAUUGGGACUGAGACACGGCCCAAACUCCUACGGGAGGCAGCAGUAGGGAAUCUUCCACAAUGGACGAAAGUCUGAUGGAGCAACGCCGCGUGAGUGAAGAAGGUUUUCGGAUCGUAAAGCUCUGUUGUUGGUGAAGAAGGAUAGAGGUAGUAACUGGCCUUUAUUUGACGGUAAUCAACCAGAAAGUCACGGCUAACUACGUGCCAGCAGCCGCGGUAAUACGUAGGUGGCAAGCGUUGUCCGGAUUUAUUGGGCGUAAAGCGAGCGCAGGCGGAAGAAUAAGUCUGAUGUGAAAGCCCUCGGCUUAACCGAGGAACUGCAUCGGAAACUGUUUUUCUUGAGUGCAGAAGAGGAGAGUGGAACUCCAUGUGUAGCGGUGGAAUGCGUAGAUAUAUGGAAGAAC
RNAcentral lists this ribosomal RNA (681 nucleotides) under Lactobacillus acidophilus. RNAcentral describes it as "bacterial SSU rRNA". It matches the Rfam family "Bacterial small subunit ribosomal RNA", at positions 59 to 707 of the family's 1533-position model. Lineage: Bacteria; Bacillati; Bacillota; Bacilli; Lactobacillales; Lactobacillaceae. The record is from RNAcentral.